UAAAGUUCCAAAUUCAUGAUUUGUUUCUUACAACUCUAAAAAGGCUAAGAUCUAUUAAGAAUCAUAGAACAAUGGCUCAAAUUUCUAAGUUUGUCUAUGCUUUGAUAAUCUUUUUUUCUUUAAUUCUUGCUGUAACCAAUGCUGGUCUUUUCCGCUGCAAAGUUGACAUUGAUUGUCCACAAAUAUUAUGUUUCGAUGAACAAAUAGCGAAAUGCAUUGCUCGUAUGUGUGAGUGUGACUACGAGUAAUAAUUAAAUUGAAAAAUAAUUUAUUGUUACUUAUAAGAGUAUAGUAUUUUUUUUUUAUGUAAUAAUGUUGGUAAUUUCAAUUUCCAUCAAUAAUUCGUUUAUGUUUCUUUGAUAUUUAUUUAUUUUUUCUCGCAAAGAAGAUAUUGAAAACAACAUCCUCAAUGUAGAAGUAUACAAUUUCUUCAAUAAAUAAAUUCAUUGUUUAAAUA
Long non-coding RNA from Medicago truncatula (barrel medic), 457 nucleotides. RefSeq lists it as uncharacterized. The record is from RefSeq and is a predicted model, not a curated record. Lineage: Eukaryota; Viridiplantae; Streptophyta; Magnoliopsida; Fabales; Fabaceae. The transcript has 2 exons.